AUACCUUUCUCGGCCUUUUGGCUAAGAUCAAGUGUAGUAUCUGUUCUUAUCAGUUUAAUAUCUGAUAUGUGGGUCAUGUGUUCACAACGAUAUUAAAUUUAUUUUUUAUGGGGGGAGGAUUCAUCACAAUGGCUUGCCAUUGGGGUCCUCAUGUGUCGCUUGGGCUUUGCACUACAGCCCACAGUCAGGCGCACCCCAA
RNAcentral lists this small nuclear RNA (199 nucleotides) under Hordeum vulgare. RNAcentral's name for it is "U2 spliceosomal RNA". It matches the Rfam family "U2 spliceosomal RNA". From Rfam's summary of the family: U2 is a small nuclear RNA (snRNA) component of the spliceosome (involved in pre-mRNA splicing). Complementary binding between U2 snRNA (in an area lying towards the 5' end but 3' to hairpin I) and the branchpoint sequence (BPS) of the intron results the bulging out of an unpaired adenosine, on the BPS, which initiates a nucleophilic attack at the intronic 5' splice site, thus starting the first of two transesterification reactions that mediate splicing. The record is from RNAcentral. Lineage: Eukaryota; Viridiplantae; Streptophyta; Magnoliopsida; Poales; Poaceae.